AAAGGAUGUGUCAUUUGAAUUGGCUUUUAAAGAAUAGCUAGGAAUUUUUUAGUUGAGAGAAUACGGGGAACCACAUUCCACAUUGGAAAGGAUUAUGAAAGGGCACAAGGCUAAAUUAGUAAUGGAGAAUACCAACCCAGGAUAGUAGAGUUUCAUUUUAUUUUCUAUCCAGAUUGGGGAACAGGGUUUGGGACUAAUGUCUAUUUUAUAUCUUUCUAUGUGCCUGACACACAGAAGAUGCUUAGUAGAUAUUUGGAAUUACAAGAGUGACCUUUAUUCAGCUGUCUCCUUUUUGAUUCCCAUAACUUCUGGAUCUAUCAAGGUAUGUGCAUUCUACACUGAAAUUUACUUGGGGAAUUGAACACUUUGUUGUAUAAUGUGAAAAGAACGGAAUGUUUCACUGAUAUAAUCAGUUCUAUUCAUUGAGUGUCAUGUAAAUGAAAUGCAUUAUUUUAAACCUUUAAAAACCUAUUUGGCUAUGGUAUAGGUAAGUUUGUGUCUG
RNAcentral lists this long non-coding RNA (502 nucleotides) under Vulpes vulpes (red fox). Its description in RNAcentral is "lncRNA (ENSVVUG00000029509.1)". Lineage: Eukaryota; Metazoa; Chordata; Mammalia; Carnivora; Canidae. The record is from RNAcentral.